Long non-coding RNA from Cervus elaphus (red deer), 165 nucleotides. RefSeq lists it as uncharacterized. The record is from RefSeq and is a predicted model, not a curated record. The transcript is spliced from 3 exons. NCBI's taxonomy places the organism in Eukaryota, Metazoa, Chordata, Mammalia, Artiodactyla, Cervidae.
UUUUAUAAAGACAAAGUAAGGUGGGGACUUCCCUGGUGGUCCAGUGGCUAAGACUCUGCAUUCCCAAUGCAGGGGGCCCAGGUUCGAUCCCUGGUCGGGGAACUAGAUCCCACAUGCUUCAACUAAAGAGCCUGCAUGUUGCAACAAAAACCCGGCACAGACAAA